RNAcentral lists this ribosomal RNA (756 nucleotides) under uncultured bacterium. Its description in RNAcentral is "bacterial SSU rRNA". It matches the Rfam family "Bacterial small subunit ribosomal RNA", at positions 8 to 796 of the family's 1533-position model. The record is from RNAcentral.
AGAGUUUGAUCCUGGCUCAGAAUCAACGCUGGCGGCGUGCCUAACACAUGCAAGUCGAACGAGAAAGGGUAGCAAUACCUGAGUAAAGUGGCGCACGGGUGAGUAACACGUGACUAACCUACCCUGGAGUGGGGGAUAACUGGGAGAAAUCCUAGCUAAUACCGCAUAAUACCCACGGGUCAAAGGAGCAAUUCGCUUCAGGAGGGGGUCGCGGUCGAUUAGUUAGUUGGCGGGGUAAUGGCCCACCAAGACUGUGAUCGAUAUCCGGCCUGAGAGGGCGCACGGACACACUGGAACUGAAACACGGUCCAGACUCCUACGGGAGGCAGCAGUGGGGAAUUUUGCGCAAUGGGGGAAACCCUGACGCAGCAACGCCGCGUGGAGGAUGAAGUCCUUCGGGACGUAAACUCCUUUCGAUCGGGACGAUAAUGACGGUACCGGAAGAAGAAGCCCCGGCUAACUUCGUGCCAGCAGCCGCGGUAAUACGAGGGGGGCGAGCGUUGUUCGGAAUUAUUGGGCGUAAAGGGUGCGUAGGCGGUUUGGUAAGUCUCGUGUGAAAUCUACAGGCUCAACUUGUAGUCUGCACGAGAAACUGCCGGGCUUGAGUAUGGGAGAGGUGAGUGGAAUUCCUGGUGUAGCGGUGAAAUGCGUAGAUAUCAGGAGGAACACCUGUGGCGAAAGCGGCUCACUGGACCAUAACUGACGCUGAUGCACGAAAGCUAGGGGAGCAAACAGGAUUAGAUACCCCAGUAGUCC